UACGGGGGGGGCAAGCGUUGUUCGGAAUUACUGGGCGUAAAGGGUCCGUAGGUGGCUCGCUAAGUCAGACGUGAAAUCCCUCGGCUUAACCGGGGAACUGCGUCUGAGACUGAUGAGCUUGAGUGCAGGAGAGGAACGCGGAAUUCCGGGUGUAGCGGUGAAAUGCGUAGAUAUCCGGAGGAACACCGGUGGCGAAGGCGGCUUCCUGGACCGACACUGACGCUGAGGCGCGAAAGCUAGGGGAGCAAACGGG
RNAcentral lists this ribosomal RNA (253 nucleotides) under uncultured bacterium. RNAcentral describes it as "partial 16S ribosomal RNA". It matches the Rfam family "Bacterial small subunit ribosomal RNA", at positions 524 to 776 of the family's 1533-position model. The record is from RNAcentral.